This 308-nucleotide unclassified non-coding RNA is filed under the name uncultured fungus. RNAcentral's name for it is "partial contains 5.8S ribosomal RNA, internal transcribed spacer 2, and large subunit ribosomal RNA". The stretch from base 1 to 52 matches the Rfam family "5.8S ribosomal RNA", at positions 103 to 154 of the family's 154-position model. Lineage: Eukaryota; Fungi. The record is from RNAcentral.
AACGCACCUUGCGCUCCUUGGUAUUCCGAGGAGCAUGCCUGUUUGAGUGUCAUGUUAUUCUCAAUCCCUUCUGCUUUGCGGCGGUCGGGCUUGGAUUUGGAGGCUUUUGCUGGCUUCGCGGUCGGCUCCUCUUGAAUGCAUUAGCUGGGCUUGUGCUCGAUGCAACAGUGUAAUAAUUCCUUUUCACUGGUGUAACUUGCUAUUUCAAAGUCCGCUUCUAAUCGUCUCUUAUGAGACAUUAUAGGAGUGUUCACGCACUUCUUGACAUCUUUGACCUCAAAUCAGGUAGGAUUACCCGCUGAACUUAA